GUGCUCGCUUCAGCAGCACAUGUACUAAAACUGGAAUGCUACAGAGAAGAUCAGCACGGCCCCUGCGCAAGGACGACAUGCAAAUUCAUGAAGCCUUCCAUGUUUUU
Callithrix jacchus (white-tufted-ear marmoset) is the source of this 107-nucleotide non-coding RNA. The record is from Rfam. NCBI's taxonomy places the organism in Eukaryota, Metazoa, Chordata, Mammalia, Primates, Cebidae.